Molecule: long non-coding RNA, 868 nt
Filed under: Marmota monax (woodchuck)
Lineage: Eukaryota; Metazoa; Chordata; Mammalia; Rodentia; Sciuridae
Source: RNAcentral
UGCCUUUUUUUUUUUUUGGCUUGGCUGUAGGUUUAAUGAUUUUAUUAAUAUUUUUGAAGAACCAACUUUUGGUAUUGUUGCUGAGGCUGGCCUCAAACCUGCAAUCUUCCUGCCUCUUCUAAAUUGCUGGAAUUACAGGUGUGUGCUACCAGUCCCAGCUGAACAAUACACUUUUGAACAAUGAAUGGAUCACACCAAGAAAUAGAGGAGAUUUCUACUUUGAAAUUGACCUAAUCUAGUGGAUUAAAUGGAUUGAAAUGCAUCCCAGUGGAUUGAAAUGGAUCCAAUCUAGUGGAGAGACUUUUUAUUCUUUCAUUUUCAAUAUUUCUGUUUUGAUUCUUCUUCAGAAUUUCUCUUUAUUGAAAUACUCUUUCAUAUCCCAUAUUUUCCUACCGUUAUUCAUUCUUUGAGCUUCUUUUAAUUAAUUGAUUAUUUUAACUAUUAAGUUUUUGAAUUCUUUGGGAUUUUAUCCACUUGGACAUCUAUGGAUUCACUUAUUAGGGAGUUAUAUGCCUUUAGAGGCAUCCUAUUUCCUGGUUUUCUCAUGUUUCCUGUAUUUCAAUAUUGAUGUAUUGAAAUUUAUAUCCAAUUGGAACCCCAUAAAAUCCAGACCAAAGAAAGAAUUUUAAAGGCUAUAAGAGAGACAUACCAGUUCACAAUUACAGGAAAAUGAAUGAGGAUAACAUCAGAUUUCUCAACAGAAACAUGGAAGUCCAGGAGGGCUUGAAACAAUGUAUUCAUGCCCUAACAAAACAAUGGUCAGUCCAUUCAAUCUGCUUGAAUGAUGACUCCCCUACUGUUUUAUGGAAGUCUCUUUAGUAAACCGCUUUCUCUUUACUAUGUGUCUGGAGCCAGGGAUCUAUUUCUG